This is a non-coding RNA of Caenorhabditis elegans, 351 nucleotides long. The record is from Ensembl. Lineage: Eukaryota; Metazoa; Nematoda; Chromadorea; Rhabditida; Rhabditidae.
GAUAUAGAGAAAUAGAGAAAGAAAGGAGUAUGAGAAACGACGAGACAGAGAGGGUGAGAGGAAAACGACUGGCAGCAAGCCAGAUUCUGCGUAUGUGCCCCUUACCCCUAUAUCAAGAAAUUUUAAAGCAAGGGGCACAUACGCACGGAAUGUUCGGGUCUCGCGAAAAAAUUUUCUACCGUUUCGGUGAUUUUUUCUGAAUUUCAUUGUUUUUGACUUCUUUCUAUCUUUUUAGAUUCUAUUUCAUUAUUGUUUACACCAUUUUCAUAAUUUUCUGUCGAUCUCGUAGGUGUAUUCGUUUCCGUGCCUGAAUUUAGGCUAAAACUGAUUCGAUUGAUAAACUUACAUUUC